This 448-nucleotide ribosomal RNA is filed under the name uncultured bacterium. Its description in RNAcentral is "bacterial SSU rRNA". It matches the Rfam family "Bacterial small subunit ribosomal RNA", at positions 329 to 793 of the family's 1533-position model. The record is from RNAcentral.
UGCCAGACUCCUACGGGAGGCAGCAGUGGGGAAUAUUGGGCAAUGGGCGCAAGCCUGACCCAGCAACGCCGCGUGAAGGAUGAAGGUUUUCGGAUUGUAAACUUCUGUCGCGAGGGACGAAGAAUGACGGUACCUGAGUAAGAAGCCCCGGCUAACUACGUGCCAGCAGCCGCGGUAAUACGUAGGGGGCAAGCGUUAUCCGGAUUUACUGGGUGUAAAGGGAGCGCAGACGGCAGUGCGAGUCUGGAGUGAAAGCCCGUGGCUUAACCACGGGACUGCUCUGGAAACUGUGCAGCUAGAGUGCAGGAGAGGCAGGCGGAAUUCCUAGUGUAGCGGUGAAAUGCGUAGAUAUUAGGAGGAACACCGGUGGCGAAGGCGGCCUGCUGGACUGUAACUGACGUUGAGGCUCGAAAGCGUGGGGAGCAAACAGGAUUAGAUACCCCAGUAC